UGAAAAUGAAUCGGGCUCGGCCCGAUCCUCCCACCCUUUGUGUACCUACCUCUGUUGCUUUGGCGGGCCGCGGUCCUCCGCGGCCGCCCCCCUCCCCGGGGGGGUGGCCAGCGCCCGCCAGAGGACCAUCAAACUCCAGUCAGUAAACGAUGCAGUCUGAAAAACAUUUAAUAAACUAAAACUUUCAACAACGGAUCUCUUGGUUCUGGCAUCGAUGAAGAACGCAGCGAAAUGCGAUAAGUAAUGUGAAUUGCAGAAUUCAGUGAAUCAUCGAAUCUUUGAACGCACAUUGCGCCCUUUGGUAUUCCGAAGGGCAUGCCUGUUCGAGCGUCAUUACAACCCUCAAGCUCUGCUUGGUAUUGGGCACCGUCCUUUGCGGGCGCGCCUCAAAGACCUCGGCGGUGGCGUCUUGCCUCAAGCGUAGUAGAACAUACAUCUCGCUUCGGAGCGCAGGGCGUCGCCCGCCGGACGAACCUUCUGAACUUUUCUCAAGGUUGACCUCGGAUCAGGUAGGGAUACCCGCUGAACUUAAGCAUAUCAUAAGACCGGAGGGAA
RNAcentral lists this ribosomal RNA (555 nucleotides) under Botryosphaeria dothidea. Its description in RNAcentral is "eukaryotic LSU rRNA". The stretch from base 180 to 333 matches the Rfam family "5.8S ribosomal RNA". The record is from RNAcentral. Lineage: Eukaryota; Fungi; Ascomycota; Dothideomycetes; Botryosphaeriales; Botryosphaeriaceae.